GAUGAAGAACGUAGCGAAAUGCGAUAAGUAAUGUGAAUUGCAGAAUUCCGUGAAUCAUCGAAUCUUUGAACGCACAUUGCGCCCCCUGGUAUUCCGGGGGGCAUGCCUGUCCGAGCGUCAUUGCCGCCCUCAAGCACGGCUUGUGUGUUGGGCCCCCGCCCCCCGGCUUCGGGGGGCGGGCCCGAAAGGCAGCGGCGGCACCGCGUCCGGUCCUCGAGCGUAUGGGGCUUCGUCACCCGCUCUGUAGGCCCGGCCGGCGCCCGCCGGCGACCCCAAUCAAUCUUUCCAGGUUGACCUCGGAUCAGGUAGGGAUACCCGCUGAACUUAAGCAUAUCAAUAAGCGGAGGA
This 348-nucleotide unclassified non-coding RNA is filed under the name soil metagenome. RNAcentral describes it as "partial contains 5.8S ribosomal RNA, internal transcribed spacer 2, and large subunit ribosomal RNA". The stretch from base 1 to 120 matches the Rfam family "5.8S ribosomal RNA", at positions 35 to 154 of the family's 154-position model. The record is from RNAcentral.